UUAAGUUCAGCGGGUAAUCUUGCCUGAUCCGAGGUCGACCAAUAAAUGAUUUGGGUACGGGCAGUCGUUCCACCAGGCUCAGAACACAUUUUGCUGUGCUUGGGCUGACUUCAGACGCCAAUCAGUUUGAAGCAACUGGCUUUCUCACAGAGACAGCCAGAGGCUCAUCGCAAGGCAAAGCCUCAUGGUCUUUAACGACG
This 200-nucleotide unclassified non-coding RNA is filed under the name Sordariomycetes sp. RNAcentral describes it as "partial internal transcribed spacer 2". Lineage: Eukaryota; Fungi; Ascomycota; Sordariomycetes. The record is from RNAcentral.